UGCAGCCUACGGGACGCAGCAGUGGGGAAUAUUGCACAAUGGGGGAAACCCUGAUGCAGCGACGCCGCGUGAGUGAAGAAGUAUUUCGGUAUGUAAAGCUCUAUCAGCAGGGAAGAAAAUGACGGUACCUGACUAAGAAGCCCCGGCUAACUACGUGCCAGCAGCCGCGGUAAUACGUAGGGGGCAAGCGUUAUCCGGAAUUACUGGGUGUAAAGGGAGCGUAGACGGUGAUGCAAGUCUGGAGUGAAAGGCGGGGGCCCAACCCCCGGACUGCUCUGGAAACUGGAUGACUUGAGUGCAGGAGG
This 305-nucleotide ribosomal RNA is filed under the name uncultured bacterium. RNAcentral describes it as "bacterial SSU rRNA". It matches the Rfam family "Bacterial small subunit ribosomal RNA", at positions 332 to 655 of the family's 1533-position model. The record is from RNAcentral.